This is a long non-coding RNA of Dreissena polymorpha, 427 nucleotides long. RefSeq lists it as uncharacterized. The record is from RefSeq and is a predicted model, not a curated record. The transcript is spliced from 2 exons. Lineage: Eukaryota; Metazoa; Mollusca; Bivalvia; Myida; Dreissenidae.
UUUUCACGCUUUGGUAAAUUGACAAAAUUGAAAAAAGUUGUUUCAGAUUCGCAAAUUUUCGUUUUAGUUAUGAUAUUUGUGAGGAAACAGUAAUACUGAACAUUUACCAUGGUCUAAUAUAGCCAUUAUAUGCAUCUUUUGACGAUUUUAAAACCUAAAAAUUAUAAAGCGUUGCAACGCGAAACGAUUGAAUAAUUUGGAGAGUUCUGUUUUUGUCGUUAAAUUUUGUGAAACUACGAAGAUUGCUUAUAUAAGGUAUAAAAUACUUCAAGUAUAUGUACUCGGCGGAAUAGCUCAGUAGGCUAAAGCGUUUUUACUUCAGGACUCUGGCAGGACUCCAGGGGUCACUGGUUCGAAACCUGGUCCGGGCAAUGUUCUUUUCCUUUUUUUAAUUUUAUUCUUGAUUUUUUACUGGAGCUUUUACGAU